CCUACGGGAGGCUGCAGUGGGGAAUAUUGCGCAAUGGGGGCAACCCUGACGCAGCAACGCCGCGUGAUUGAUGAAGGCCUUCGGGUUGUAAAGAUCUUUAAUCGGGGACGAAUUUUGACGGUACCCGAAGAAUAAGCUCCGGCUAACUCCGUGCCAGCAGCCGCGGUAAUCCGUAGGGAGCAAGCGUUCUCCGGAUUUACUGGGUGUAAAGGGCGUGUAGGCGGGCAUGCAAGCCAGAUGUGAAAUCUGGGGGCUUAACCCCCAAACUGCUUUUGGAACUGCGUGUCUUGAGUGAUGGAGAGGCAGGCGGAAUUCCCAGUGUAGCGGUGAAAUGCGUAGAGAUUAGGAAGAACACCAGUGGCGAAGGCGGAUUACUGGACGAUAACUGACGGUGAGGCGCGAAAGCGUGGGGAGCAAACAGGAUUAGAUACCCUGGUAGUC
RNAcentral lists this ribosomal RNA (441 nucleotides) under uncultured bacterium. Its description in RNAcentral is "partial 16S ribosomal RNA". It matches the Rfam family "Bacterial small subunit ribosomal RNA", at positions 338 to 795 of the family's 1533-position model. The record is from RNAcentral.